ACUAGAAUGAUAUAAAAACGUUAGGUUUGGUCAAAAAUUAGAUGUUUACAGAAUGCCCCUCUUUGCUUGGAAAUAUGGAGAAUUUUCAAGCAAAGAAGUAAACAUGACUAAUUUUUGGCCCAACCAUUUAUUCAACAGUAAUACGUAAAUAAGUAGGAAAGAGGUGUGACCGAGUCUUGACUUUGGACAUCCUACAUAUCUCGGAUUAUAAGAGAACCAGGUCACGUGUAGUUCAAAUUGAUAUAAGAGUGGAAGGGUGAAUUAAAGAGUCGGAUUGAGAUCCUGUCGAGUUUUCGGUUCAUGGUUCCUUUUAUUACAUAAAAAAAAAAAGUGAAACUAUAAAUGAAAAAUACAAGAUCCUAUCCAUUCUAUUGGUCUUGAUUCUCUUGCUUCAAAUCUUCCUCUUGGAUCUUCAGUUAUCGCCUCACCUUCUUCUAGUGGAUACCUUGAUCAAAACUUGAUCUUGAAGUUAGGAUUUGAGACUUGAACUUGAAACUUGGAUUGAGUCAUUGACACUCUACCAAAGAACAAUUCAUUGAAUACUUUUGGAUGCUUGUUCUCCUGAUCAGAAGCUAAAAAGAUGUCUCUUGAGAUAUUGAGCCGCUACAGAUGCAAAGCUGACUCUAACUAUCUUCAAAUUGAUCAUUCUUCUGCAUUCUGACUAGGGACGAGAUUUUUAUUCUCAGCGUCAAACCUGUACUUUGCAAAAAAACCUGCAAGCCAUCAAGGAAAACAAAACAGAACGAACAAAAUUUUCUGCCCCAGGUUUGCACUAGGAAAAUUUUGUGAUUUAUUAGAAAAAUUAUAAAUAAAUAAAUGAAAAUGAUAGAAAUCUAAGAUAGAUACGCAAUAAAAUAAGAACCCUAUUCUCAAUAAUACAACCAAAGGAAGUUAUGCCUUAUGAAUGCAUGAAGAAGAGUUAGGAUAUUUGUUUCUUAAAAUACAACUAGGAUUGUCAUACCCUAUGAAGACAUAAAGAAGAAAACUAGGAAGGUUUAUUUCCUAAAAUGUCAACUAGGGGAUGGCGCCCUAUAAAGACGAAAUAAAAUGUCAGUUAGGGGAUGGCACAGACGAAUAAGAAAAAUUAGGAAAUGGAGUUUCCUAAGAUAUCAACUAGGGGAUGGCACCCUAUAGAGACGAAUAAGAUGUCAACUAGGGGAUGGAUCCCUAUGAAGACAAAUAAGAUGUCAACUAGGAGAUGGCGCUCUAUGAAGACGAGAUAAUAUGUCAACUAGGGGAUGGCGCCCUAUGAAGACUAGAUAAGAUGUCAACUAAGGGAUGGGGCCCUAUGAAGACGAAUAAGAUGUCAACUAGGGGAUGGCGCCCUAUAAAGACAAAAUAAGAUGUCAAAUAGGGGACGACGCCCUAUGAAGACGAAUAAGAUGUCAACUAGGGGAUGACACCCUAUGAAGACGAAUAAGAUGUCAACUAGGGGAUGGCGCCCUAUGAAGACGAAUAAGAUGUCAGCUAGGGGAUGGCGCCCUAUGAAGAGGAAUAAGAUGUCAGCUAGGGGAUGGCACCCUAUGAAGACGAAUAAGAUAUCAGCUAAGGGAUGGCGCCCUAUGAAGAUGAGAUAAGAUGUCAGCUAGGGGAUGGCGCCCUAUGAAGAUGAGAUAAGAUGUCAGCUAGGGGAUGGCGCCCUAUGAAGAUGAGAUAAGAUGUCAACUAGGGGAUGACGCCCUAUGAAGACGAGAUAAGAUGUUAACUAGGGGAUGGCACCCUAUGAAGACGAAAGAAAAUGUCAACUAGGGGAUGGAGCCCUAUGAAGACGAAUAAGAUGUCAACUAGGGGAUGACUCCCUAUGAAGACAAAUAAGAUGUCAACUAAGAGAUGGCGCCCUAUGAAGACAAAUAAGAUGUCAACUAGGGGUUGGCACCCUAUGAAGACGAUAUAAGAUGUCAACUAGGGGAUGACGCCCUAUGAAGACAAAAAGAUAUCAACUAGGGAAUGGUACCCUAUGAGGACGAAGAAGAUGUCAACUAGGGGAUGGUACCCUAUGAGGACAAAAAGAUGUCAACUAGGGGAUGGUACCCUAUGAGGACAAAGAGAAUUAAGGAGUUUUGUUCCCUAAAGAGUACUCAGGAGAUGUUUUACCUGUUGAGGGAAGUGAGAUUUUUUAUUUUUUAUUGUUUAUUUUUUUAUUUUUAUAAAAAAAUAUGCCUCAGUUUUGGAUGCGAGGAACUUUAAAAUUCUUUUUGAAUUUUUUUAAUAAAAAAAAAUACCCCAGUAGUAUACCUUUUAGGAAUGUAAAAAAAAAAAAUUAUUCAGUGAAACCGAACCCUAUUGUAGGAUUGCCUACGUAUCUUGCGUAGAAAGAAUCAGGUCUAACGUAGUUCACAAGAACAUAAUAUUUUUUAUUUCAUUUUUUUUAAAGUAUGUGCUUUGUUAAUAUCUGGAGAAUGAAAGAAUGAAAUUAAUUCAUUUCUUGACUUCAAUUGGUACCAACAAUUAGCAUUAUGGUCGAAUAAUCUCUAAUUACUUUCAAGCAAAAAUCAAGAUCAACUUAGAAGUGAUCCCUAUAGUUUCAAAUAGUACCUCGAAUAUACUUAAUUUUCAAUAAGAUCUUUUUAUCUUGCCUCAAUCAAGUGUUUAAAAUCCUUCUUAUCCUCAAGUUUCAAAUGCCCUUACCACAACUAAAGUCCUAAUUUACUCGUAAUAAAAGAGUUCAGAUUUGAGGACAUUCAAGAAUCACUCACACUCAGAAAGAUAUUCAACGCAUCAAUGAGAUACCAUAAGCUUAACAAUCAUGUAAGUAUUCACUAAUGUGAGAACACUCAAAAUGGAAUCAUGUAGGACUUGUCAUUGGUUGAUAUUGUAGGCUUAGGGACAGGUAGGAUGAUAUUUGGGAGUUAAGUAACUAAUUCCUCAAUAAGCACUGCACUGUUUCCGUGCUUUUACUAUUUGUUGCGGAUUGACGUUCGAUCUUCUUUGUUGUUCUUUUUUUCCCCUUGUUUUGUAUUUGUUUAGACUUUGUUUGAACCUUGUGCUAGAGCUUUUCCCCUUUUAUUUUUGAUAAAUGUAUUUUCUUAAUCUUUUUUUUUAUAAUGAUGAGAAUUCUCCAUCUUUGUUGGAGUUUUUUUAUCAUCUUUUUUUAAUGGGGUUUUGCUCUUUCUUCUUUUAAGUCAUCUUUUGUUUUUGUUCUCCUGAGCUAUACGUUCUUUGUCACUGGCGCCUUUGAUCUUGAAUCUUCAUUUGCAAGUUGUACUUAUUUAGUGCGCUCAAUGAAGUAGGACAAAAGAGGGAUAGUGCAUAUAAGCACUCGAAAGGUAUAGGCUCAGAUUUGGUUAUCCAAAGAAAAGGUUUUAGGCUCAAAAGGAGAAGUGCUAGGGAUUAAUGUCAUUUAGUGGGUUGUGGAAUGCACAAUCAAAUCAAAUAAGGCCUACGAUCCUUUCCCAAACCAAGUAUAUCUCAAAAUUUUGCCUCAACAGACAUUCAAGCCAAGUUCUAGAUCAACAGAGCGAUGCCUUUGAAUUUUCAAUCUAAAGCUCACCACUCAAUGCACAUGAAACAGUGAGGUAAGAUUUAUUUUAAACUUGAAUUAGAACAAGAAAACUUUGCAAGUGAACUUUAGUAUAAUUAGAGGCAUCAAAAGAAUUUGUAGUUCACAAUCAAGUUGGUCCACUCUAUCGUAUCUCAUAAUACACUUAAUUUUUUUUCAAUUCAUAUUUUCAAGUAUGUUGGUAUCAAUUAUUAGGUCAAGAUUUAUUUUUUUUAGAUGAGACCGAAUUCAAAAGAAGAGUUGCCUCCGUAUCUUGUUGAAAUAAGAAUCAGGUCAAACGUAGUUCAGGAAGCUUAAAAUAUGAAGCAAAAACUUUUUUUUUCUUUUUGAAUAGGGAGGAAAACUUUUUUUUUUAUCUUUUCUAUUUUUGAACACUUUUUUUUUUACCUAAGGAUUUCUUUUGAAGGAGACUAACACCCUUUUUUUAUUUUUUAUUUUUUUUAAAAAAUCAAUAGCAAUUUUUUUUUCAAAUUGAAUGAAGAUCACCGAACCUAAGAAAAGUUGCCUACGUAUCUCAUUAAUAUCAAAAUCAGGUGAGCGUAGUUCGUGAAGCAGGAGACAUGAAGAAAUCCGCUUUUUAUUUGAAAAGAAAAUGAUUUUAUUGAAUUUAUUAAUAAAUAUUUUUUUAAAAUUUUUGAAAACGAAUUGAUUGAUUUUUUUUAUAAGGAUCAAAACUUUUCUUUUUUUCCUUAAGAAAAUACAACCUUUGUUUUUAAGGAUCACCGAACCCGUGGAGGGCUGCCUACGUAUCUUGCUGAGAUGAGAAUCAGGUGUGCGUAGUUCGUCCAGAUUGUGGCAAACUCAAUAAUUUAGAAAAUUAUUUUUGUUUUUUAUUGUGAAAGCAAAUCUCGCACCUCAUUUGAGUUUCGGAAAAGAAUAGGUUUUAGAGAGCAAUUUUCAACCUCUCUUACGCAAAUGAAUUCCAAAGCCGAACAACAUUCUAAACAGCCUAAUAGUUAAUGCAACUAGUGACACAAAAAAUAAAUAGUUUUAAAAUAGGGUACUUUUAGACAUUCAAAACUUUAUUGAGCCUCCACUAAGUAAAAAAUGCACGUUAUGCAAAUAAAGUGGAGCCUAAUAGGGAUAAUCAUGUCUAAGUUCCAGUUCUACUAGGUUUAACCUGGUGGAGUUAGGUAUCUAGACUGGCUGUAAAACGUGUGGAUAACUCGAGUCAGGCAGGGACAGCUUUACUGGUAGCAGGGCUUUUCAGCCUCACUGUUGGUCCCUUCCCAUCCUGAAUCAUAGGUGACUAUAGAAUCCUUUCCAGAAGCGUCGCCGCAUCUCUGGUAUCUCAAGCUCGAGAGCGUAUACCGCAUCUCCAAAAAUAUAAAGUAUCUCAGAAGACUCAGAUGGGUACGCAAGAGAAGACAGUUUAUAUUGCAGUUCAAAUAAAUUAAAGCAGUUAAACAUGUAGGCAAAUAACACAUUUACACUAACAAUAUACAAUAUCAAAAUUAAAUAAAGCCAAACAAGUCAGUAUAAAAGGUCGAAUUCUGAUUAUGUUUCCAGCAGAGUUGCCAUCUGUCACACCCCUAUUUUCUACCACAUCUAACCCCACUAGGGAAGCUGGUUUUAGAGAAAACGAGUUUUUCCCAUUAAAGUGACGUUUUGAAAAAGGAUUAUUUAUUUUACAGAGUCGUCACUUGGAAUUGAGUUUGGGUGUUCCAAGUCACCUUAUUGAAUCCCUAUUCAAAAGGAAAUGAAUCUUAAUUUUUGAUUUGCGAACUAGAAAUCUGGAUAAGGAAUUCUGUUGACCAAGGGGAAGGUGUGAGGCACCCCUCGAGUCCUGUGGUUCUAGCACGGUCGUUUUAAUGACUUACGUCUGGCUUAAAUUAAUAUUUUAGUUAUAUAAAACAUUUGUUAGUCUAAAAGUUACUUACAUCCUGCUUUAUCUAUUGAGAAUUUAUUAAAAAUUGUCUUGAUGCAUUGCUUACCGAUAGUAGUACUUUUCGGCCUUACCACGAGUUUUGGUAUACUUCUCGCGCCUUUAUGGCAUUUAUGGAUCGUUCCCACUUUCUAGUCUAAAUAAGCAUCUAAUAUAUUUAGAAUCUACCCCAACACAAAUUUAAUCGGCUUCAAAUGGUAGAUUAGUUUUAUUAUAACAAAUGAUCGGUAGCAGGGCUUUCCAACUUCAUCAUUAACUUUCACUUAUAUAUUAAACUUAAUUAUUUAGAGGAUAAGAACCGAACUCAUUCUCUUGAAAAUAUUUUUUAAUAAUAGGUUUGAAAGUAAUGCUCAUGUCCCAUUUACUCAGUUUUCAUACUAUUAAACUAAUAAACUAACUCACAUUUUAAAGCACUUAUUCAAACCGUAUCAAAGCAUGCAUAACAAUGAUUAUUUUUAACACUAAAUCAAAGAAAUAAUAAGAGAGCACGUAUAAACUUGAUCUAUCAGGUUAAUUAAAACUUACUAGUAGUUAUUAAUUUAAAAAGCCCGACAUAAACAAAAUAAUAAGCAAUAAAAGCAUGUAAACCUCCAAAACAAGGUACAGUACUGUAAUAUCAUUUGUAAUGUUUUAAAAUUCCACAUGUUUUCAUAAUUCAUAAAUUAUAAAUGUAACCUUUAUUUAGUAUACACUUACAUAUAUUGUCAGCUACGUUCUCCCAAUUUUGUUACCACUACUUUCUCCUCCUUUCUUAUUACUUUUUCUUUCUGUUUUGGUUCUUAUUACUUUUCUUCUUCUUGUUUCUAAUACACGCAUGAUGCAAGCUUUAUCAUAAAUACUUUCAAAUUACACAUUGACUGAACGUAACCUAAUCAACAUUAUUUUAAGUCUACAAACAAGUCAUAAACAAAGACGUAAAACAUGAACUACGUAAAAGUAACAAAUUUUAUACUCUACACAAUAUAAAAAAAAACUUGCAAUAAUUUCAUUAAUCUUCGAUUCACAAUAAAACUCAUAAAAUAAAUAGCUCAGGAUCAAAAUAAAAACCUGUGUGGUGAACUAAUGAAAGUAUGAAUAGGAAUAUCAGCGCCGUAAACUCGAACCAAAGACCAAGAUCAAACUCCAACCCUCGAACUUUAGGAAAGAAAAACUCUUUUUUUUUCUUAGUGUUCUUCUUGUUUUUCGUUUGUUUUCUUUUUCUGUUUCUUGC
RNAcentral lists this long non-coding RNA (6594 nucleotides) under Capsicum annuum. RNAcentral's name for it is "long non-coding RNA (CANN_LNC021898)". Lineage: Eukaryota; Viridiplantae; Streptophyta; Magnoliopsida; Solanales; Solanaceae. The record is from RNAcentral.